CGGCGGACGGGUGAGUAACGCGUGGGUAACCUGCCUCAUACAGGGGGAUAACAGUUGGAAACGGCUGCUAAUACCGCAUAAGCGCACAGUACCGCAUGGUACGGUGUGAAAAACUCCGGUGGUAUGAGAUGGACCCGCGUCUGGUUAGGUAGUUGGUGGGGUAACGGCCUACCAAGCCGACGAUCAGUAGCCGACCUGAGAGGGUGACCGGCCACAUUGGGACUGAGACACGGCCCAA
Molecule: ribosomal RNA, 238 nt
Filed under: uncultured bacterium
Lineage: Bacteria
Description: partial 16S ribosomal RNA
Rfam family: Bacterial small subunit ribosomal RNA
Source: RNAcentral